UGAGUACGAGACGCUAAGGCGUCGAAGUAGCUAUGUCAUACUUCCAAGAAAAGCUUGCACUGUCAUAAAUAAAAAGUGCCCGUACCAUAACCGACACAGGUGGGUAAGUAGAGUAUACUAAGGGGCGCGAGAUAACUCUCUCUAAGGAACUCGGCAAAAUAACUCCGUAACUUCGGGAGAAGGAGUGCCUUAUUCUUAAGGUUGCAAUAACAAGAUCCAAGCAACUGUUUAUCAAAAACACAGGUCUCCGCUAAGUCGUAAGACGAUGUAUGGGGGCUGACGCCUGCCCAGUGCCAGAAGGUUAAAGAAGUCGGUUAGCAAUAGCAAAGCUGGUAACUGAAGCCCUGGUGAACGGCGGCCGUAACAAUAACGGUCCUAAGGUAGCGAAAUUCCUUGUCGGGUAAGUUCCGACCCGCACGAAAGGCGUAAUGAUUUGGAUGCUGUCUCGGAGAGGGGCUCGGUGAAAUAGACUUGUCUGUGAAGAUGCGGACUACCUGCACCAGGACAGAAAGACCCUAUGAAGCUUUACUGUAACUUGAAAUUGAAAUUGGACUUUAUUCGCGCAGUAUAGGUGGGAGGCGUUGAUUAUAAUCUUGUGGGAUUAUUGGAGCCAUCAGUGAGAUACCACUCUUGUAAUGUUAGAUUUCUAACUUUGAAUCAUUAUCUGGUCAAAGGACAGUUUCAGGCGGGCAGUUUGACUGGGGCGGUCGCCUCCUAAACGGUAACGGAGGCGUACAAAGGUUUCCUCUGAACGGUUAGAAAUCGUAUCUAGAGUGUAAAGGCAUAAGGAAGCUUGACUGUGAGACCUACAAGUCGAGCAGGGACGAAAGUCGGUCUUAGUGAUCUGACGGUACUGAGUGGAAAGGCCGUCACUCAACGGAUAAAAGUUACUCUAGGAUAACAGGCUGAUCUCCCCCAAGAGUUCACAUCGACGGGGAGGUUUGGCACCUCGAUGUCGGCUCAUCGCAUCCUGGGGCGGUAGUACGUCCCAAGGGUUGGGCUGUUCGCCCAUGAAAGCGGUACGCGAGCUGGGUUCAGAACGUCGUGAGACAGUUCGGUCCAUAUCCGGUGUAGGCGCUAGAAUAUUGAGAGGAGCCUUCUUUAGUACGAGAGGACCGAGAAGGACAUACCUCUGGUGUACCAGUUAUCGUGCCAACGGUAAACGCUGGGUAGCUAUGUAUGGAGUGGAUAACCGCUGAAAGCAUCUAAGUGGGAAGCCCACCUCAAGAUAAGUAUUCUCAUCACGUAAGUGAGUAAGGUCACGGUAAGACUAACCGUUUGAUAGGCAUUAAGUGUAAGUACAGUAAUGUAUGUGCUGAGAUGUCCUAAUAGACCGAGGAC
Molecule: ribosomal RNA, 1341 nt
Filed under: metagenome
Description: bacterial LSU rRNA
Rfam family: Bacterial large subunit ribosomal RNA
Source: RNAcentral